GCCGGUGUAGUUCAUUGGUAGAAUGCGACCUUCCCAAGGUUGAGAGGCGGGUUCGAUUCCCGUCACCGGCUCAA
RNAcentral lists this transfer RNA (74 nucleotides) under Rhodococcoides fascians. RNAcentral describes it as "Rhodococcus fascians tRNA-Gly". It matches the Rfam family "tRNA". Rfam says of the family: Transfer RNA (tRNA) molecules are approximately 80 nucleotides in length. The record is from RNAcentral. Lineage: Bacteria; Bacillati; Actinomycetota; Actinomycetes; Mycobacteriales; Nocardiaceae.